This 468-nucleotide ribosomal RNA is filed under the name uncultured bacterium. RNAcentral's name for it is "partial 16S ribosomal RNA". It matches the Rfam family "Bacterial small subunit ribosomal RNA", at positions 28 to 507 of the family's 1533-position model. The record is from RNAcentral.
GACGAACGCUGGCGGCGUGCUUAACACAUGCAAGUCGAACGGAAAGGCCCUGCUUUUGUGGGGUGCUCGAGUGGCGAACGGGUGAGUAACACGUGAGUAACCUGCCCUUGACUUUGGGAUAACUUCAGGAAACUGGGGCUAAUACCGGAUAGGAGCUCCUGCUGCAUGGUGGGGGUUGGAAAGUUUCGGCGGUUGGGGAUGGACUCGCGGCUUAUCAGCUUGUUGGUGGGGUAGUGGCUUACCAAGGCUUUGACGGGUAGCCGGCCUGAGAGGGUGACCGGGCACAUUGGGACUGCGGUACGGACCAGACUCCUACGGGGGGCAGCAGUGGGGAAUACUGCACAAUGGGCGGAAGCCUGAUGCAGCAACGCCGCGUGCGGGAUGACGGCCUUCGGGUUGUAAACCGCUUUCGCCUGUGACGAAGCGUGAGUGACGGUAAUGGGUAAAGAAGCACCGGCUAACUACGUG